This is a long non-coding RNA of Vigna unguiculata (cowpea), 2073 nucleotides long. Lineage: Eukaryota; Viridiplantae; Streptophyta; Magnoliopsida; Fabales; Fabaceae. The record is from RefSeq and is a predicted model, not a curated record.
CUCUUGAUUUUCGUUCCUUCCUUCUUUUUCUCCCUCUUCGUCUUCCCUCUCUUUUAUUUGUUUCGUGUACAAUUGAUUUUCAUUUCUGGAAUAUCCUCUCUCUCUUUAAUCUCAUCUUCCUAUAUGAAGAAAAAAUUUUAAACUCCAUUUUUGUAUUCAUCUCUCAUCAUUUGAAAAAAAUUCUCCAUUUCCUCUCUCUUAUGCAUCAACUAAACCCUAGGUAUCCUCGAUCCCUAAUACCUUUGUCCUUGGUUUUCCUAAUUUCUUUGCCUAACUCUCACUAAGCAUUCAUGAGGAGGUUCGCAAGCGGUACACUACGCAGUAGAAGCUCUACAUCACGACGAUGACUUGGUUGUUUGACUUUGAUUGAUUCCACUGUGUAGGCGCCGUCUGCAUUGGAGUGCUUGUUGGCUGCGAGGGAGAAUCCGAGCCAGGGGUUGAUGUCGGAGGUGUUGAUCUUGUACUCAUUUGGAAUUUGAGACUUCAGGAACUGGAGUUACAUAUGAAACAGGGGACCAUGUUGGUGUUUACUGUGAGAAUUUGUCUGAAAUUGUGGAAGAGGCAUUAAGGUUAUUAGGUUUGUCACCAGAUACCUAUUUCUCUAUCCAUGUUGAUGGUGAAGAUGGGAAACCACUUAGCGGAAGCUCCUUGCCACCUCCAUUCCCACCUUGUACUCUAAGAACUGCAAUUGCACGAUAUGCGGAUGUUUUGAGUUCACCCAAAAAGUAUGUCUUGCUUGCCUUAGCUGCUCAUGCAUCUGAUCCAUCUGAAGCUGAUCGUCUAAGGCAUCUUGCCUCACCUGCCGGAAAGGAUGAAUAUUCAGAGUGGGUGACUGCCUUUCAGAGAAGUCUCCUUGAGGUCAUGGUUGAAUUUCCAUCAGCCAAACCUCCACUUGGUGUCUUUUUUGCGGCAGUUGCUCCUCGUCUGCAGCCAAGAUUUUAUUCAAUCUCCUCAUCUCCAAGAAUGGCGCCAAACUGAAUUCAUGUUACUUGCGCAUUAGUAUGCGACAAAAUGCCCACCAGAAGGAUUCACAAAGGAGUGUGUUCUACGUGGAUGAAGAUGAUAUCAUCAUCACAGGUAAUUUGAUGUUGUUGCUGAGGUUUGCAAGGAGUCAAAAGAGUUGCCAUCAAGGACAAAAAGAAUGUCAAUAAAAAUUGGACCAAGCAACUUUGCUACAAGAAAGAAGAAAAAUGAAAACCAUUACAUUUAGUUUUGUUCGUAAGCCAAAUUUAUUUUAGAAGAGUUACAAGUUAAUUUUUCCCGUGCAUGAAUCAAUCUAUGGCCAUUCAAAUUAUGAACAGAGGGUUAUGGGUACAAUAUACAUUUACCUAAUGAUUUUUUUCUUGUUUUGAGAAGUUGCUUUAUCAAUUAUAUUUGUAUUACAAGUAGCAUGAAAUUGGAUUAAAUUGUAAGUCUUUAAAUUAAGCAUCCAAUUGAUGCCAAAUGUGCUUAUAAUAUUAUUUAAGGUCAAAAGCUCUUUGAUGAUCAUGUGUCAAUUUAUUGUUCACAUUGUUAUGUCUUCCGUAUUAUAAUAAUAAUUAUUAUUAUUAUAAUAAUAAAAUUAUUAUUAUUAUUAUUAUUAUUAUUAUUAUUAUUAUAAUAGUAAUAAUUAACUAUAUGUCUUCCACAUUGUUCUUGCCUCGUAUAUGUUUUGAAUUUACUCACACACCAUGGGUCUAUUUCCAUUUUGAGAGAUAUAGAAUGCUUACAAGAUUCAAUCAGAUUUUAUGCAUACUCUAUAUCUUUAUAGUUUAAUUCCUACGCCAACAUUUGUUUUUUAUUACAUUGUAGUCCCAGAAUUCCAAAAUUGUAAGGACCUAAAAGCAGCACACUUAAUGGUCGCUAGUCUUUUUGGGAGUUUGGCUCAUGUUACUUGCAAGAUUCAUUUUGAUACAAUGAGCCCUGAGAUCUACAGAGACUCGAAAGAGAAAAUUGAUGCUUUGGUUGUAGGGAUAGGAACUAGAGGAUCAAUAACAAGGGCUGGAAAAUUCCUCAAGCAGACUUUCUUUAUUGUAUCUAAUUAGACUUUCAUUUUAUUUGACUUUAUAAAAAAGAUAUUGUAAUAUUGCACUA